This is a small nuclear RNA of Zalophus californianus (California sea lion), 106 nucleotides long. The record is from Ensembl. Lineage: Eukaryota; Metazoa; Chordata; Mammalia; Carnivora; Otariidae.
GUACUCACUUUAGCAGCACAUAAACUAAAAUUACAACAAUACAGAGAAGAUUAGCAUGUCCCUGUGCAAGGAUGACAUACAAAUUUGUGAAGCCAUUCAGAUUUUU